Molecule: long non-coding RNA, 1676 nt
Organism: Carya illinoinensis
Lineage: Eukaryota; Viridiplantae; Streptophyta; Magnoliopsida; Fagales; Juglandaceae
Exons: 2
Source: RefSeq, a predicted model, not a curated record
UUUCAGGAUUUUAUCAAGAAAAAUAAAAUCAGUUUUUUGCUUGUAUUCACGGAGAUAUGUUCAAUAUGUAGUAGAGCCUCUCAUUUGGAGAUGACUGUAUUACGCCCUCAAAUGCCACAUGAAAGAAUUUCAAGCCUCCAUAUUGGCUAACAACAGAACGUAGCUUUUAUUUUAGAGUAGAAAAUUUUUAGCCAUGAUUUGGAUUUACACGAAAUAAAGGAACCCCAGGAGAAUCUUAAGACUUAGUUCUUUCUAUGAUUGUUAGUUUCACAUUUGUUAAGUUUGAGAUGGUUAUUUCUGAUAUUUAGCCCAUGGACCUUGCCCUCUUUUUGUUGAACAAGUAGGUAGCCCGUAGGUCUUCUUCCUUUGCUUGGAUUUGAUGCACAUUGUACCCCAUAUAUAUGUCAAGUACUUUAAAUCAUUUAGGUGCAACAGCAACAACCAUAGUGAUGAGAACGGCAACAUAACUAAAGCAACGGAUAGAAACCUCAGAAAGUGGUUGUAUACUCCAUCAGGCCAUUCACUUGCUCAGUCUCACAGACAUUUUAUGCUUCAUAACAGUAGAACUCACUGUGUACCACACUCUGUUUGUGAUUCCCACAUGUCUAAACACAUAUAUAAUAAAACUAACAGAUACGCACUGAAAAACUGUUUCCUCUAGUGCAAAAAAACAAGAGUGAAAGAGUAGGGAGUAAUUCACCUCUCUCCGUAUAAAACCUUUUUCUAUAGGUACUUCACAAAAACAGAAUUGCACAAAAUGGGGGGCCAACGAUAGUACAUGGGAAGUAUACAAGAUAAACACUCAAAAAGGAAAUGCACAAAACAUCUGGCAAGUACAUGCAAACACAACAUAUAGCCGAACAUAAAUAUUCCAUUCAUGAAAUAUUUAAUGUAUGGUGAGUUGACUUCCAACCACAAAGUAAUAACUUGAUGUAGACAGGCUUAUGGAAAUCGGCAUAUUAUGGUGGAGCCAUAAGGAUGAACUCAUGGACUUCUACAGAUGUUUUUAUUAGAGAAAUUCUGAUCUGAAGCCUGUUUAAGACCACACACCACACACCUUUAUUACAUGGCAAACCGGGUCUGAAGACAAUGAGGAUAAACCGGUGGUUCAAGACAAAAUCAAGAAAGGGGUUACUCUGUUCUCUCUCCUCCCUUGUCAUUCGACUCUCUCUCUCCCCCCAUUGUUCUUCAAACUGCAAGUUCUCAACGGCAGUCAUGGUUGAUCGUUGGUGGUUUUCCAGGCACGGUUGAUCAUUGGCGGUUUUCCAGGUCUGGCCACUCUUCCCCCCCCCCCGGCGGGGGUCAUCUCUUCUUUUGUAUGUUUUGGAUAUGGAAAUUAUCAGCCAAAAAAAUAAAAAAACCCUAGAGAAAUAGAGACCCACUUAGUUAGAUCAGCGACUGUUUCUAACUCCACUAAUUCUUGCUUGGGAUUAUGACCUACUAGGAAUGCUUUCACAGUGUAAGAACCCUUUUUUCCCUUUUCAGUUUAUUGUUUUCAUUGGAACUGGAGAUUCUGAUUUUGACGUUUCAGGAAUUGUUUCUUUCCAUAUGACCAUCAUUGUUGGAGAAUCCAGUUUUAGUUUCUUCCAAAUAGGUUCUUCCUUGCAUGCUCUUCAAAUGUGGUUUCUUCCUUGCAGACACAAGCUUUUCCCAUUCUUUCGAUUUUUCAGCCUAAA